RNAcentral lists this ribosomal RNA (456 nucleotides) under uncultured fungus. Its description in RNAcentral is "eukaryotic LSU rRNA". The stretch from base 111 to 262 matches the Rfam family "5.8S ribosomal RNA". The record is from RNAcentral. Lineage: Eukaryota; Fungi.
UUAGAGACCGCCAGUGGGUUUAACCGCCCCUGGAGCCGUGCUUGCCAAUGGCCUAUAUUUAAACUAUUGCUGAAAUGUGGCGUCUUAUCAACAAACAUUUAAAAGCAAAAAACUUUCAACAACGGAUCUCUUGGUUCUGGCAUCGAUGAAGAACGCAGCGAAAUGCGAUAAGUAAUGCGAAUUGCAGAAUCCGUGAGUCAUCGAAUUUUGAACGCAUAUUGCGCCCUUUGGCAUUCCGAAGGGCAUGCCUGUUCGAGCGUCAUUAUCACCUCUCAAGCCUGGCUUGUAGUUGGAUCUUAGCUCUGGCUUUGAUGCCCUUGCUGGUCCCAAAGAUAAUGACGGCGUCUGUGAAUGACCCCCAGUACACUGAGCUCUCGUAGCACGUACUUGGUUGGAGUUCCGGACCCGGUCUAGCCAUAUAUAUUUUCUUAGGUUGACCUCGGAUCAGGUAGGGAU